This is a long non-coding RNA of Anolis carolinensis (green anole), 9976 nucleotides long. RefSeq lists it as uncharacterized. The record is from RefSeq and is a predicted model, not a curated record. The transcript is spliced from 5 exons. Lineage: Eukaryota; Metazoa; Chordata; Lepidosauria; Squamata; Anolidae.
CGGGUGGGUUUGCUUACAUACUAAGAAAACCUAGGGCCACUCCUGACCCUUGCCCUGCCUUAUUUAGCCUGUGUUUUGUAUCUUCUACCAGCUUCCUCUCUUUCCUUCUUAUGCACAGUUAGCUGUAAUUCUGGAACUUGUAGUGCUUCAGAAGCCAUGCUCAUUCUCUCCAAAUCUCCAUAUUUGGCAGGAAUGUUUCUAAUUAGUUUCAUUGUUGUCCCAAUUUUUAGCUGCUUUUAAAAUAUGCCAGUUUCUCUCUCCCUUUCACUUUUCCUUUUUGUCCUUGGUUUAUUUCAGUUUCUUCAAACUGAGUUCAAUGUACAAAUGUACAUGUAGUUUGUACUCGAUGCAAUGGGAGUAAAAGACCAGGAGGAGUCAGAAUCUUGCCCUUCCCUGUAGACCUGUUGUUCUCAACUCGUGGGUCCCCAGGUGUUUUGGCUUACAACUCCCAGAAAUCCCAGCCAGUUGACUAGCUGUUAAGAUUUCUGGGAGUUGAAGGCCAAAACAUCUGGGAACCCACAGGUUGAGAACCACUGCUGUAGACUCAAGCAAAAGCAGCCUCCCCUAGCUUGUCUGUCCUUCCUAAUUUAACAUCUGUCAUCUUGACCACACUCUGACAUGCCUUGCCAUUAGUGAAAUGUUGGAGUAAAUGCCAUGCCAUAUAGGAGAAGAGAAAUUUGUCUUUUUGUUUAACCACACUAAAAAAGGGUCUGGGUCAGCAACUCAUUUUACACAUUGUUCCAAAACUGGUUCUGAUUCGACCUAGGAAAUCUAUCUCACAACCUAUUUUUUCAUUUAAACCAAUUGUUGGGCAAAUACAUUGAUAAUAUACCCUUACAUAAAUCUGGGGAUUCUACAUUGAGUUAGGAAAUAUGUUCCAUAAAUAUUCUCACACAUGUUCAACAUUUAUCCCUGAUAUUUUCCUCUCAUAAUAAUGAUAUUUCAGUUUGGACUCAUCCUUGGAGUGUUCCCCUCUCAUCCUUGGGUCUUACCAGGAAACAUAGUGCAAAGGAUAAAUCCCCUUGUUUUACAGAUGCUGACAUUUGAUUUGCAGACUAUAGUUAGUAGAGAGCCAGACAGAUUCACCAAAGUCUUUAAUGCUGAUGAUUAAUCUGAUAUUGAUAACAAAACAACACAAUAUGUGCAGAAUGUGGAUAGGAAAAACCCAACUGCAUUUUGUUCUUACACAUUCCCAUUGCUAUUGAACAAAUCUUAGUCUGGAAUUAGCAUUGAAAUAGCCUAUAAAUUGUGUGUUAAAAUGUAAUCAAUAUUUGUAUUUGUGUUUGUGUUUGGGCAGCAAAUUCUGUGAAGAAAGCUUCAUGGGAUUUAUUUCUGCUUAGAUACCUGAAUGGUGGCCUUCAAAAUGUGUCAGUUGUAAUUUAAGAUUGGUGUUUAAUAUGGAAUAUGGAGAUCAAUCCAAUUGAUUUCAUUGAAUAAAAAAGUCCUUGUGAGGAUAUAUGAGUACACAUUUUUAAAUGCAACAAGCCCAAUAAUUGGUUUAAAUGUAAAAAUAAAUUGUGUCUAGAGAUAUGCAGCCCAGCCAUAGCUGAUGCUUUAUUGGUUUUUACAUUUCACUAACUGAUGGGCUUUCAUGUAAAAUCAAUAUUAUGCAGUCAAAUAUAUUUUGCUUUGUUAUGUUGUGGGUUCAGUUAGCUGAAGUACCAUUUUCAUGUCAGAGACCAAACCUUUAUUUUGCAAUAAACAUGCUUUAAAAUAAAAGGGAAAUUGAGAGGAUCACUUUUGCCUAAUAAAUAUUCCAAAGCUUUCAUUGCAAUAAGGUAUAGAUUUUAUCAUGCACUUCUUGUAGGUUGUAUGUGUCUUUGGGGUGGAGGGGGAUAUGUACAUUUUCUUGGCUAACUCCCAGGCUUUUAAUUAAGUCCCUGGCUAUUCCAUCCUUUAAAAGCAAUUGCCAUCUAUUAGAUGGAUCCCACAAAAAAGCAACAUUGGCAUCCUUGCUUAGCAGAGAAUGAAAGUAGGUUGAUAAUGCUGCACCUACCUGAAGCAGACAGCAAUGGCACAUUGUUUUGUAAUGGUGUGGAGGGGCAUAUGUUUUGUUCCCUUUGGGCAUUUUUGACAGUUGUAAUAGAAAUGAAAGACAGUUUUUCUUAGCAGAAGAAACUAUUGCUUUCCUUUCCUUCAGAUUGUAAUUCGUGGCUCACAGCAGGAGGCAGGGGGAGGUAUGGGGGAAAGAAGGACUGAAGAUCACAAAGUAAAGUGAACUGGACGUGAUCCUACUUGGUCUUGCUUGGAAUGUUACCUAACUGCAUUCCACAGAACUCACUGUCACAAGAGAAAGACCUUGGCAGGGCAAUGUAUUUGGAGCACAGACAUUGCAAGAAAUAGUAAAUAUAACUCAUUUAAAAUGGCUUGAAAUGUCAGUCCUCUCUUCAGAUGGCCAUAGCUUCUCAUAUUGCAAAAUGGCAAAUUUUACUUCAGGGCAGAAGGAUUGUGUUCCUAUGACCGAGAACUCGAAAAACCUCUUUGGUGCUUUACAUCUCAGGAGGACAAUGGAUGUUUUGUGAGAAUUCCAGCUACCAUAAAAUAGUGUCUCAGAGAGUUGAAUUCUCUCUUAUGUUUUCUCACUUUUCUUGCUGAUUGAACUCCACAGCACACACAAAUAUAUAUCUUCCUCCCUCUCCCCCUUCUUAUCAUCCUUCCACAAAAGCCCGGAAAAAGCAGGUGCAAUUUUACAGUCUUCUGAAUUACAAAGCUAUAAUUACUGAGGGAAUUUCAUAUUUUCAUGAAAGGAAGUUUCUUCUGUUACAGAGUUCUCAAACUGGAAAUUGGCAUUUCAGACCAGCUACUUCUUCCAACCCUGCAAUUCUGAAACACUCAAAAGGUUAAAAAAAUAAUAGACCUAAAAAUAAAUAUACAUGUCGCUUAUUGAAUUCAGUGGAGCAGAGAAUUCUUCUGGACUCACCGAUUCAGUUAGAGACCAGUUUUACACUUUUUUAGUCAUGAUUUAAAACAAUUGAGCACACGCCAUAAACAUCGAGUCAUUGGAAAUGAAGUCUGGUGAACCAUUCAUGACCCAACUGAACUAAUACGUUAGAAUAUUAUAGCUUUAGAAUAUGUGAAGUGAAUAGCAAGUCUGCUCACAAGUCACUCUGGCAGAGCAAUGGCUGAAAGCAUUUACAUAAAAAUGUAUGUUUUUGUUGAACCAAGGGUAUGUUUAUAGCAUAUGAAAUGGCCAAGUUUGUCAAGUGACCUAGACAAAAGCUAAAGGGAAAACAUGCUGUUGUGGACACAGCUCAACUUUUUUCCUAAAAGACUACAAAGUCAAAAGAUAUGAGUAGGAUCUGCAAGAAGAGGUUGCAGUGUAGACUUUUCCCAUUGUUUCAGGGAAUGUGACCCAAGUCAAUUGAUUCAAAUCACUAGAAAGGAGUUUAAUUUUGCUAAUCAUGAGAAUGAAUAUACUCCUUGUUAAAUCUAUUCAACAGAGGAAUGGGCUGCCUCAAAGAAUAGUGAUGCUCUUUCACUGAAAUUAUUUAAACAAAAGAUGAAAAGCCACCUGCCAGGGAUGAUUUAGAGAUGGAUUUUCUACAUUGGCAGAAGCGUGGGCUGUACCAGAUGAGGCUUGGGAUAUUUUUUAGUGCUAUGAUUCCAUUAUUCUAGCAACUUCCAUAUAUUUUCCUCUCAUUGCAUUCUCAAAGCACCAUGGUCAAUUCCCACUGUACUGUGUUGCAUACUACCUAUUCUUUUUAACCUUGCCUUCUUCCUCCAUCCCUGUGUUGUGCUGGCUCCAAUGAGGAAAGCAUUGCCAAGAGGUAGCUGUGCCAAGAGGUGACAGAUUUGCUCUGCUGCCCUUCUUUUUGCAGUGGUCAGGCAAAGCGGGAUGCUUCGCCUGGCCUUUCUGAUGAGACCCUAAGUUCCACUGAACUCAACCAAGGACAGGAAACCAGGAAAGUUGGCUCAGCAAGCAAGCAUUGGAAAUCUGGCAUCUUCGGAGCAGUCAUGACCUAAUUCAGAUCUGUUCCAUCCAUCUCUAGUUUUUCAGAUGUUUUUAAAAAAUAAAGACUUAAAAAACCUUCUUGAAUAUGGCCCAAACGGAAUCUGAGCCAGAAACAUUUUUUGGAAAUGAAAGUAAUGUGGGCAUUUGGCAUCAUACCACUUUAAAAGAAAACUGUUACUCUACACCAAAACUAUCUUAAAUGCAGUUGUUGAAUGAAAUCCAAUAGAGUACUUCUGCCAGAAGAAUGAAUAAUAUUGGCAAACAGACUAAUCUUCCCCAUUCAGUUCUCUCAUGGAUCCAGAAUAAACUGCAGAAGGCUGGGGACUUUUAGUAGAAGAGGGGGAAAGAGGCAGGAGAAGUCCUAUUGUAUGGCUGGAAAUUCAUUUGCAUGAUGUUGUGUUUUGCACAGUCUCCUGGAAUGGAUGAGUGCAAUAAGUGAAAAAAGAGUGGCUCUGCCACCUGGCUUACAGUUUAAAAGGACAAGGUGCCCAAAUAUGCGGGGUGGAGAAAAAAAAAUCAAAGAUCAGUUCUUUAAUGUUUACAUCAAUUUUCAAGGUUUUAUACGUGUCCUUGAGAAUACGGAAUAUGGUAGCUGUUCUAUAAUAUGUAGAUGUCUCACCACUAGCUACUUUCAGUGGGACAAUGGAUUCUAUGAACAGAAAGAUGGGGAGCCCUCUCAGCCCAGUAGUAGCAAAUUUCUAUAUGGAACACUUUGAAAAACAAGCCCUAGAAACAGCACCAAAAAAGCCAACUGUAUGGUUCAGAUAUGUUGAUGUCACCUUUACCAUUUGGAGCCAUGAGGAAGAGGAACUCAACAAGUUCCUGGACCACCUCAACAGCAUCCACCCAAACAUCCAAUUCACCAUGGAAAAGGAAAAGGAAGGAAAACUGCCAUUUCUAGAUGUUCUGGUCAUCCGCAAAUGCAAUCAACAAUUGGGUCACACAGUUUACAGAAAACCUACACACACAGAUAGAUACCUUCAUAAAAACUCCUUUUCCAAUGAUUUUUAUUGAUGCUUUCAACAUAUAAACACAACUAAAAGGAUAAAACUCCAACCCUCACCCAAGUCAAAAAAGAAGCACAAUCAAAGCCCGACAGACCAUGCACAAAGAAUCUGCGAACCUCACCUCCUCCAACUAAACCACCUAAACUGGGUUCUACAGGCCAAUGGAUAUUCCACCAUGGACAUCAGAAGAGCUGUAAGGCCAAGAGCAAGCCAGGAGAGUAAGAUGUUCUUACCAUACAUCAAGGGAACCACUGACCGCAUAGGCAAACUGAUGAAGAAACACAACCUACAAACUAUCUACAGACCCACAAAGAAAAUCUAACAAAUGCUACGGUCAGCGAAGGACAAGAGGGAUCCUCUCACCUCUGCAGGAGUCUACCAUAUACCAUGCAGCUGUGGACAAGUCUACAUAGGGACCACCAAACGCAGCGCCCAAACACAAGUCAAAGAACAUGAAAGGCACUGCAGACUAACUCAACCAGAGAAAUCAGGCAUAGCAGAGCACCUGAUGAACCAACCUGGACACAGUAUAUUAUUUGAGAACACAGAAAUGCUUGACCACUCCAACAACUAUCAUGUCAGACUACACAGAGAAGCCAUUGAAAUUCACAAGCAUGUGGACAACUUCAACAGAAAGGAGGAAACCAUGAAAAUGAACAAAAUCUGGCUACCAGUAUUAAAAAACUCAAAAAAUCAGAACAGUAAAUAAGAAGCAACACUCUGAGACAUGGGAACUAGGGGCAGCUAACAAAGGAUGCCCCCAGGCAGAAAGUAGCCAGUAGAUGAAGCAAUUCAAUGCAAAUUAGGGUGAUUAACUGCAACAUUCAUGCUGGCCUCCAACUGACAAGAGUUCCUCCCUCACCCUGGACUUCCCACAGAUAUAUAUAAACCUUCCUUGCUGAGCUUCUCCAUACCUCACAACCCCUGAGGAUGCCUGCCAUAGAUGUGGGUGAAAUGUCAGGAGAGAAUACUUCUAGAACAUGGCCAUACAGCCUGGAAAACAUACAACAACUCUGUGAUCCCGGCCAUGAAAGCCUUCGACAACAAAUACGUAGAUGGCCUACGAAUCAGGAGAAAUUGGUUGUAGGGGGUUUCUGCAUGUAAAACCCUGAAAAUGGGAAAUGCAGUUUGAAAUGAAAGAUUAUUGCAAUAGUAAAGCAAAUAGACUCAUUAAACAAUAUUGAUUAAUAUAAUUAUUAGAAUAACUGUUCAAUUAAAAAUAUUUCACCGCUGUUUAAGAAAAACAGUGGACAUGUUUUAUUGCACAACUGCAUGGAACUCAAAAGGUGAACAACAAUGAUAUGGUAAACUAGGGCCACAUAUAUUAAUACACAUAACCCAAACUCGGCAGUGGGGACUGCUAAAUGUGGAAAUCAGCUCGGGCAGGAUGUUCUUCUUAUCCACUCCAGUUGUGUAUUAUUGAGCGCCCAGGCUCUGAUGUCUUCUCAUGUUUUAAUGGGCCAAUAUCUGCUGGCUGGCUAAUCUGAUCAGACAAUCCUCCUGGUUUAGUCCCUCCCUCAAGCUGUGAGACUUUAGAAUCUGUGGCAGGACCAACCUUGGCUAGCCACAAAGGUGAUUUUUCCUCCCAUAACAUGGAGUGCAAGUUGAGGAACCUGUUUCACCCAAAAAGUGCUCCUAGCACUGGUAACAAAACCCCAGGUUCACCCCAGACUGACCAAACAUUGGCACCAUCAGGACAGCUGGAACCAUCAGAUGAAGAGGCUUGUCUCCCAAGUCUGCAAUUUAUAGAGCAGAAAAGUGACCAGAGCAUAGGUAUUCACUGAGACUUCUUGCCAAGCAAAAUAAGAAGCUCUCUUAAUUAAGAUCAGCUGACUGCAACCAAUUUAAGUAAUAGCUCUGGCACACAUUCUCUAUUGAAAACAACCAACCAUCUGAUCUCUGGCUCUGGUAAGGUGUUCCUAUUUCUGAUUCAGAUAUUUGAAAUCUUGACCUUGGACUGGCUGAUGGCUCUUUUUGACUAUUGAAGUGGCUAGCAGUUCCUGUUGUCUCUUGGAUUCAUUGAAUUCUGUCCAUCAUGCUCCCUUGCUAGCAAACCCUCCAGACAAGUUUGUUUCCAAUAAAUCUGCCUGAUUUACUGCCUUGCUUUAUUUGAAAAAAAUCACAAUAAAUUUCUUUCUCUCUAACAAUUGUCCAUGAUAGUGCUGAAGACAGCUUGGUAAAUCAGGGCCUUUUCUUUGACCAAACUGAGGUCAUUUUCCCAUAAUUUACUAUUAGUACUUUGAGGGCCAAACCACUCAUUUCAUGCAACAACAGAGGGAGCAAACCUGAUCAACUAAUUUCUCAAAAACCCAGCCACUCAAAUGUCAUUGUUCAUUGUCCCUCAAGCUGCAAACAAGCCAUUGAUUUCCAGGCCCAACUGGAUGUCCAGCAUAGGGGGCCUCAUGUGAUAUGCACCAUCAAAUCUCUCAAACCUGAAAUAAAGUAAUUGAACAAUGUAUAUUAAUAACAGCUUGCAAACAAUUCUGGAGAGAGUGAACAUAUUUUAAAAUAUAAACCCACUACUAAAAUGCAAAAUAUGAAUGAUGAGUAAAUACCUCUUUCAUUUUAAAAGAAAGAACCUCAGCAGUGUGUAAUUUCCAUGGGCAUGUCCAGUUGAUGCUUUCUUACUCAUUGACAGUUUUAAAACAUAGAACUGCAGGCUAUUAUAAGUAGUCAGUAGGUUAUAGGGAAUCAGUGGCCAAAUACAGAGGCAUUAAAGGACUGCUGUUUUUCCCCCUCUCCUUCUCCCACAUAUACCAGUAGUUCUAUCUUGGUUCUACCUUAAGUGUCUCCAUUGAUAAUACAGUAUGGUUGACUUUGCUAGGUGACCUACGCACAGCUUCACAUCAUGAUGAAUGCAAGUUCAUAACAUCAUGCUGAUAAAAUAGGGAAGAAAUUCUCCUUACCAAUAUUGCAAUUUUUCUAUCAGAAGCUCAGACCCAGAAGCAUAAAUCCACACUAAAAUCAGCCUUGGGAAUUAAUUCUUUACAUUAGAAACAAGAUUAGUUCCUGCUUCUGAGAAAACACGGCUGUAUUAUAUGUACAGUGUUACUUGUUGCCUGGACAACACACUGUUAAUUCCAAUAGAUUCCUUUUAUCAUAAAAACGGAUUUGCACUGAAGGGCAAAGACCACCUCCAUAUGCAUCCAGACUGCAUUACAAUCUAAUACAUCACCUUAUACAUUUAUAGGUGUCUGCUUCUCCUGGCUUGCUGAAAUACUCGCCAUAAAAAUGUCCAUGUGAAAAGUUGGUUUAAAUGUCAUGUGUUUUCACUUGGAAACUACCUAGCUGAAUGAGCAUCAGUUCCAGCAAGAAAGAUCCCAGUAAGAGAAAAAAUAAAACAUGUCUUCUUCAGAAUAUGGAUGGUCACUAGGGGCUUUUGAAUAGACACUGGAUACCUCCUGUUAUUUCCUGCUCAUUCUGAUGUCAACUGAAUUUCGCAUUUAAUGAAAAUAACACUAAUGCCACCCCUUAAAAUAGUGCCAGGUUGGUUGCAAAUGCAAAAUAAGAGAGUCAUUGACAUCCAUUGGGAGAAUAUGUGGAUAGUGGGUUUCCCAGCUGAAGCCAAUGAAGUGGUGGACUGUUUGGCACCAAGCUGGGAAGUUGCAGUUGAUGUGGCAGUGCAUUCCUUUGGGGAAGUUUCUAAAACAUUGUGCAUGCAGCAGGAGGCACCUAUUGCUCCAAUUAUUUGUUAAUCAGAUUUGUAUGAGUGCCUAACAUUUACCCUUUGGGAAAUCAACCUCCUAUGCCCUAUUACAAAACUAUUUUUUCUUUGCCUUGGGUUUACUAAACAUAAAUAGUAACAGUUGUGUCUCUAGAACAUAGUGAGAUAUAAGUCAAAACUUUCCCUGCAAUUGGUUAUAUAGUUCUGUGUUUUUUUCUGGAAUAAUCAGCAAUGUCAGGUGAUGUACUCAAUGAGAAACAUGGAAAGGGAUGAUAUUUUAAAGUAAGAGAGGAUUUUUAACAAGAAAAAAAUAAUGGGUGGAUAAUUUUAGAAAAGGGUUAGACAAUAUGUUUAUUUCAUUUUAUAUUAAGCAAUUGUAAUUGCUAAGCAUGGGAUGGGACCAAGUCAAGGAUCUCAUUAAACAACAGAUCCUGGACAUAGAGUGCCAAUUAGACUUAGCCUGCACCCCAGCCUUUAGUGUUAGUGAAUCUAACAGAUAUCUCACCACCCCCAUGGCAUACCUAACAAACCUGGAGGUGCCCAAACACCGAAGGGAUUUCACUCUGGCAAGAUGCCAUGCCCUCCCAUCGGCUGUAUUGAAGGGGAGAUAUCAAAAGACCCCUUUCAAGGAGAGAUCAUGCCCAUGUGAGUCCGGACACACAGAAACAACUGAACAUGUGCUCCUUCAAUGCAUGUUCUACAGAGACAUUAGAACUAGUCUCAUCACUCCAUAGCUUCUUAAAUAUCCAGGGCACACAAGAAAGUUUUAUACCACCCUGCUGCUCUCGGACUCUACCACUAGAAUAAUUUACAGUGUUAUUAGGUUCUGCGCUGCGGCACAUAAAAUUUGAUGGAUUAUGAUCAACCCCGCAGGGCAGCACCCUGAAGGGAGCGCAGCUGGAGCAACCUGUUGCGACUGAGGUGUUGCUGGAUUUGCAGUGUGCCCCUCCCUCUCCCUCUAGUGCUCCUAGUGUUUUGAUCCCUCCUAUCAGACUCCCCCCUCCCCUUGGUCCCAUAACUGCUUUGUUAAACAUGUCUUUAAACUGUACUGUUUUAUUUAUUUAUUUUUAAAAAGCUGUUUUCUAAUUUCUUUUAUGAUUGCCUCCCUAGGGAACUGUAUUUCCCCAUACUAGGGCCUUUGUGCCCCUCUCUGUGCUGGUCAUGGACCAUAAUAAAGUCUUGAUUGAUUGAUAUUAGCCCAUUGUGUAACUUGUGUUAGUUUACCAAUCCUCUCCUAUUCCCAAUCUUGUUUUCUCUUCUAGAUUGUUUUACAGAUUUAUGUCUAUCUGUCUGUCUAUUUACCUAUGUCUAUUGUCUAUUUCUCUAAUAAUUAAAAAAUAUUGCCAAAGAUGA